RNAcentral lists this ribosomal RNA (497 nucleotides) under uncultured bacterium. RNAcentral describes it as "partial 16S ribosomal RNA". It matches the Rfam family "Bacterial small subunit ribosomal RNA", at positions 28 to 507 of the family's 1533-position model. The record is from RNAcentral.
GAUGAACGCUGGCGGCGUGCCUAAUACAUGCAAGUCGAGCGAACAGACGAGGAGCUUGCUCCUCUGACGUUAGCGGUGGACGGGUGAGUAACACGUGGAUAACCUACCUAUAAGACUGGGAUAACUUCGGGAAACCGGAGCUAAUACCGGAUAAUAUAUUGAACCGCAUGGUUCAAUAGUGAAAGACGGUUUUGCUGUCACUUAUAGAUGGAUCCGCGCCGCAUUAGCUAGUUGGUAAGGUAACGGCUUACCAAGGCAACGAUGCGUAGCCGACCUGAGAGGGUGAUCGGCCACACUGGAGCUGAGACACGGUCCAGACUCCUGAGGGAGGCAGCAGUAGGGAAUCUUCCGCAAUGGGCGAAAGCCUGACGGAGCAACGCCGCGUGAGUGAUGAAGGUCUUCGGAUCGUAAUACUCUGUUAUUAGGGAAGAACAAAUGUGUAAGUAACUAUGCACGUCUUGACGGUACCGAAUCAGAAAGCCACGGCUAACUACGUG